This is a long non-coding RNA of Suricata suricatta (meerkat), 433 nucleotides long. RefSeq lists it as uncharacterized. Lineage: Eukaryota; Metazoa; Chordata; Mammalia; Carnivora; Herpestidae. The transcript has 2 exons. The record is from RefSeq and is a predicted model, not a curated record.
UGAUUUAUUUAAAGGGCACUGAGAAGCCACUGGAGUAUUUUACAAAUUGGGGGGGGGAGGGCUUACUGAUCAGAUGUGCAUUCUGAAAAGAUCACCACAGCUACUUUACUCAGAAGGGAUGAGAAACAGUCAAGAGUGGAUGAAGCAGCUGGGGGACCAGAUCUGUUGGAGUGGUCCAGACAGAGGUGCUGACCGGCAGAGGAGGACAUAGCAACCAAUACAUUUUGGAGUGACUUGUAGAAAAUGGCAAUAAUCAUCUUGAAUUGAAAGAAAUUUGGCUUUUCCCAUCCCUUCGGCAUCCUUAAGAUUAGCCAUGCUCUCUUGAAAAUACUGCUCGGCCACAUCUGAAGAAGAACAUCGUAACAACAUUUGAAGAUUGCUUGCAGAUUUGAAAUGGAAACAGAAUAAAUAUGCAUUUAGUGGUGGUGAACUA